Molecule: ribosomal RNA, 484 nt
Filed under: uncultured bacterium
Lineage: Bacteria
Description: partial 16S ribosomal RNA
Rfam family: Bacterial small subunit ribosomal RNA
Source: RNAcentral
AUUGAACGCUGGCGGCAGGCCUAACACAUGCAAGUCGAGCGGAUGAAGGGAGCUUGCUCCUGGAUUCAGCGGCGGACGGGUGAGUAAUGCCUAGGAAUCUGCCUGGUAGUGGGGGAUAACGUCCGGAAACGGGCGCUAAUACCGCAUACGUCCUGAGGGAGAAAGUGGGGGAUCCUCGGACCUCACGCUAUCAGAUGAGCCUAGGUCGGAUUAGCUAGUUGGUGGGGUAAAGGCCUACCAAGGCGACGAUCCGUAACUGGUCUGAGAGGAUGAUCAGUCACACUGGAACUGAGACACGGUCCAGACUCCUACGGGGGGCAGCAGUGGGGAAUAUUGGACAAUGGGCGAAAGCCUGAUCCAGCCAUGCCGCGUGUGUGAAGAAGGUCUUCGGAUUGUAAAGCACUUUAAGUUGGGAGGAAGGGCAGUAAGUUAAUACCUUGCUGUUUUGACGUUACCAACAGAAUAAGCACCGGCUAACUUCGUG